Molecule: ribosomal RNA, 119 nt
Filed under: Erinaceus europaeus (western European hedgehog)
Lineage: Eukaryota; Metazoa; Chordata; Mammalia; Eulipotyphla; Erinaceidae
Source: RNAcentral
GUCUAGGGCCAUACCACCCUGAACACAUCCGAUCUCGUCUGAUCUCGGAAGCUAAGCAGGGUCGGGCCUGGUUAGUACUUGGAUGGGAGAUUUGACUUGACUGAUGUCGACUCUGUUCU